GUAAGGAAUAUUGGUCAAUGGACGAAAGUCUGAACCAGCCAUGCCGCGUGAAGGAUGAAGGCCCUCUGGGUUGUAAACUUCUUUUAUCUGGGACGAAAAAAGGGUAUUCUUACUCACUUGACGGUACCAGAGGAAUAAGCACCGGCUAACUCCGUGCCAGCAGCCGCGGUAAUACGGAGGGUGCAAGCGUUAUCCGGAUUCACUGGGUUUAAAGGGUGCGUAGGUGGGUAUUUAAGUCAGUGGUGAAAUCUCCGAGCUUAACUCGGAAACUGCCAUUGAUACUAUUUACCUUGAAUGCCCUGGAGGUAAGCGGAAUAUGUCAUGUAGCGGUGAAAUGCUUAGAUAUGACAUAGAACACCAAUUGCGAAGUCAGCUUACUACGGGGUGAUUGACACUGAGGCACGAAAGCGUGGGGAGCAAACAGGAUUAGAAACCCGUGUAGUCC
This 445-nucleotide ribosomal RNA is filed under the name uncultured bacterium. RNAcentral describes it as "partial 16S ribosomal RNA". It matches the Rfam family "Bacterial small subunit ribosomal RNA", at positions 354 to 796 of the family's 1533-position model. The record is from RNAcentral.